UUAUCAGCUGAUUGGUCCCCAGUCCCACGGUGUGCUGGUGUGUGUCCGUGGAAACCCUCACCUCAGUGCCCUCUCCUGGAGCCGUGCCGCUGCCCUUCUCUGACUUUGGCGGCUCAGGACGUGGAUCGCCUUAGAGUGGGUGUACUCCGUGUACUGGUUUGUGUUUGUUGAGCCUCUGGCGGGGGCGGGUUUCAUGUUUGUUCACUGGUCUGUAAUUCACACACUUCUUCUAGACUCUUCUAUCGACGGUCUGGCCUGGAGCGGACUCAAAGGGCUUCUGACCUCGCUUGUAAAGAAAAUGGAGAAAGAUUUAGGGAGAGAGCGCGCAGGGUGCUAGGGGAAGCAGCUCGCUGUGCAGCUGCUCUGGAUGCCUUUGGAUUACAUCAGAGUGGCUGAGAAAACAAGAGGCAGCGAGAGGGAGAGAGGAGCUCGAGUGAACCCGUCGCAGUGACACCUCCAGGGUGGCCUUCACCAAGUCAGUCACUACAAAAAAACACUGCUGGUAACGAGACCAUGUUCUCAGGGGCUCUGGUGGUGUUGCUGGUGGUCCUCAUCAUGUGCAGGAGGGUCAUAUGGCACGGGAUCUGCCUGCUGAUUGGUCGGAUGUUGUUUAACGAGCCUGUGAGGGAUAAACAAAAAACUAAUAAAGUUUUGUGAGACCAACG
Gadus morhua (Atlantic cod) is the source of this 665-nucleotide long non-coding RNA. RefSeq lists it as uncharacterized. Lineage: Eukaryota; Metazoa; Chordata; Actinopteri; Gadiformes; Gadidae. The transcript has 4 exons. The record is from RefSeq and is a predicted model, not a curated record.